RNAcentral lists this long non-coding RNA (1719 nucleotides) under Mytilus galloprovincialis (Mediterranean mussel). The record is from RNAcentral. Lineage: Eukaryota; Metazoa; Mollusca; Bivalvia; Mytilida; Mytilidae.
AUCGCUUUGUCUCGCUUUUUCAACUAAAGUCGAAGGCUUGACAAAAAUGUGAUGCACACUGUUAAUUAACCCGCUAUGCGCGUUAUUCCGCUAUGCGCGUUAUUCAGUGUACACCAAAUUUUUUAUGUUAUUUCUUCAUAGACAGAAAAAAUAUAAGAUUCUAAUACUUUUCAUCAAUGGAGAUUUGGAACUAAACCUCUUUUCCAAAAAGAUGAGCACUUCACCAUACUACAAAAUUAUAAUGAAAAUUGGAUCGAUUGAUUGUUGUUUGAUGUGGCAAUUUGGAAAUUGGAUAACAUUAUUGAAUAGCGCUCGUCUCCUUAUAAAAUAACACCAGAUCAUAAUGCUGUUUCAGAACAAUAUACAUGUAUAACAGAUAUUGCAUACAUAAAAUAAACACAAUGCAAGAAUUGAUCAAACGUACAUAAUAUCAAGGGGUCAAAAGUAAUUUACAUCAGUCAUUCAAAGCAUUUGUACAAAAUGAGAAAGAAACAUUGCUGACUUGUAUGUUAACUAAACAAGUCCAGUGACAUAGAUCCUUAAUAUGAGACACUUGUGAAACUAAUGUACAGAAUUAAAAAAAAUGUAAACAAUGAAUGUUCAUUUGUAAAGUUUCAGGGGACUUUGGCAUCACAUUAUAUGCUAAAUAGCUUCAUAAUUGUGGUGUACAUUUCGUUUAAGUACAUCUUGUAAAAAUUUAUUCUUGACUUAGUAAAAAUUAUAAAUGGAAUCAUUGUAAAACCAUUCAAAAAAUGAAUGUGUAAAUAAUAUCAUUUUGGUACUUUUAUUAUUGUACAAAACUACUUGAAAAAUAAAUCAGGAUUGUGCAAAUAAUAGUUUUUUUCAAUGUCACAUGGUGGUAAAUAUUAAGGUGCCAUAUCAUGGAGGGCUACAAAAAUUGUAAAUACCAAAUAACUGGAAAAUCCACAUUUGUGUUGUUAAUGUGACCUUAUGCAAAUGUACAAUUAAAUCAUGUCAUUGUAAACAACAAUUUGUCACCAAUAGGGGAUAGUAGUAGAAGGGAUUAAUUUCCACAAUUGCCUGACAGAAAUUUGUAUUUAAUGGAUCAUUAGAAGUUGGUGUCAUAUUUAUAUAACAACACACAUUUAUUAUACAUCCUGUAUGACAAGACUCUUUUUCAAUGCAAUUAUUCAAAUAUAAAUAGAAGGAGAAUGUAUGACAUUCCAAGGUUUUGAAAGAAUUAUUGUUUUAAGUAUUGAAAUUUAUCAGGAAUGCAAAGUCUCACAAGGUAAAUUGCCAUCUAUCCUACUCUCAAAGAAAGCCCUGAUGCACUUAUUUAUUUCUUAUUGCUUUUGAUGGUAUUGAUGAAUUGCUAUAUACAAAUAAAACAAAACACUAUAUAUUUAAAUGUACAUUUUCUGUAAACUGAAAGUAAAUUUAAAAGUACAAUUUUCUAUUAAUACAAUUUAUAUUUCCACAAAAGAAAACAACAUGUUUACUUGCAACAUAAUUCAGUGCUCUUGAUCUUUUUACAAAAUGUUAUGUAUAUGGAAAACUGAGGUGUAAAAACCUCUGAUUAAUGAGUAUGACAAUGUCCUCCUAGACUUCCUUGUGUAACAGAAAGGUAUACCCCUGUUAUAUCUAUGACCUUUAAAAACAAAUUGAUCCAAUUUAGUUGUUCCCAUAUCUCUGUUAUUAAAUGUCUUUACAAGAAGUAAUCUGGCUGUGGUUUCUUUGAUGGUAUUCCCCUAGAUUCCU